CUUGGUCAUUUAGAGGAAGUAAAAGUCGUAACAAGGUCUCCGUUGGUGAACCAGCGGAGGGAUCAUUACUGAGUACUACACUCUCUACCCUUUGUGAACUAUUAUACCUGUUGCUUCGGCGGCGCCCGCAAGGGUGCCCGCCGGUCUCAUCAGAAUCUCUGUUUUCGAACCCGACGAUACUUCUGAGUGUUCUUAGCGAACUGUCAAAACUUUUAACAACGGAUCUCUUGGCUCCAGCAUCGAUGAAGAACGCAGCCCCCCGUGCCCCCGCCCCGCCCGCCGCGCGCGGCGGCGA
This 295-nucleotide ribosomal RNA is filed under the name uncultured fungus. RNAcentral's name for it is "partial 18S ribosomal RNA". The stretch from base 1 to 68 matches the Rfam family "Eukaryotic small subunit ribosomal RNA", at positions 1764 to 1831 of the family's 1831-position model. The record is from RNAcentral. Lineage: Eukaryota; Fungi.